RNAcentral lists this ribosomal RNA (118 nucleotides) under Beta vulgaris subsp. vulgaris (sugar beet). Lineage: Eukaryota; Viridiplantae; Streptophyta; Magnoliopsida; Caryophyllales; Amaranthaceae. The record is from RNAcentral.
GGGUCCGACCAUACAUGUGCUAAGCACCGGAUCCCAUCAAAAUUCCGUAGUUACGCGUGCUUGGGCGAGAGUAGUACUAGGAUGGGUGACCUCCUAGGAAGUCCUUGUAUUGCAUCCC